RNAcentral lists this ribosomal RNA (115 nucleotides) under Oceanobacillus halophilus. The record is from RNAcentral. Lineage: Bacteria; Bacillati; Bacillota; Bacilli; Caryophanales; Bacillaceae.
UCUGGUAGUGAUUGCGGAGAGGAUACACCUGUUCCCAUGCCGAACACAGAAGUUAAGCUCUCCAGCGCCGAUGGUAGUUGGGAAUUUUCCCUGCGAGAGUAGGGCACCGCCAGGC